Molecule: RNA transcript, 3944 nt
Organism: Zea mays
Lineage: Eukaryota; Viridiplantae; Streptophyta; Magnoliopsida; Poales; Poaceae
Gene name: putative STRUBBELIG family receptor protein kinase
Exons: 17
Source: RefSeq, marked validated
AAACAAAACACACCCCGUGCCGUGUCUCGGGCAACGUCCCAACUCCCAAGGCGAGCGAGAGCCAGCCCACCAUUUUUACGCCCGCUCUGUUUGCGUUGCGUCUUGCGUGCUCCCCUCCUUCCCUGCCUACUGCUCUACGCACACGCAGCCACUACUUGCCUUGCCAGUUGCGUCGCUGCUCAUCCCAGACUCCCAGCCCCAGUCCCGUACCCCAACCAUCUCCUCUGUCUCCGCCUCGUCGCUUCCGCCCACUCUUCCUCGCCGCUGCCUCACGGCCCCAUUGCUCCGAGCGCGGCGCCGGUCGCGAUCCGACCGGGGGUGCGCGGCGCCGAAUGGUGUGAUCGACCCCGUCGGGAAUUGGGAUCGAGGUCAUGCAGCGGGCUCCGGAGCGCCGCCGCGGCGCCGGGCCGCUCCUGCUGCUGGCGCUGCUCGUCGCAUUGGCGGCCGCGCCCAGACUCGUGCGCGCGGUCACCGACGCUACCGACGUCUCUGCCAUAAACGGACUGUACAUGUCACUGGGAUCACCACUUCUACCUGGAUGGACUGGAAAUGGUGGAGACCCGUGCGGUGAGAGCUGGCAGGGUGUUGUGUGUACCGGCUCUUCCAUAACUGGAAUAACCAUGAAUGCUGCAAACUUGGGAGGACAGUUGGGAAGUUUAGGAAACUUCACUGCCAUCACCAGCUUAGAGCUUAACAACAAUAAUAUUGGUGGAACCAUACCGGAGGACCUACCUGUUACAUUGCAGAGUCUUUUCCUCUCUGCUAAUCAACUUACUGGAAGCAUCCCAAGUUCACUGUCAAAACUCGAAAACUUAACAGCCAUGUCAGUCAACGGCAACCAUCUAAAUGGAGACCUACCAGACACUUUUGAUUCACUCAAUAGACUUGUAAAUUUGGAUAUUUCUUCGAACAACUUGAGUGGUGUGUUACCAUCUUCAAUGAAAAACCUGGCAUCUUUGACUUCAUUGCACAUGCAAGAUAAUCAACUGUCUGGGACCCUUAACGUUUUGCAGGAUCUCCCACUGAAAGACUUGAACAUAGAGAAUAAUCUUUUUUCUGGACCGGUGCCUGCGAGUUUGCUUAACAUACCAAACUUCAAAAAGGACGGGAAUCCAUUCAAUACCAGCAUCGUCCCAUCUGCAUCUCCGCCUUCAACAGGACCAGCUCCAACACCAGCAGCAUCAAAACCAGCUCCAACACCAGCACCCACCACUUCAAAUUCAACGCCCCCAGCACCAGCACCCUCAUUUCCUUCAAGAUCUCCUCCCCCGCCUAAAACAACCUCAAACUCUUCUGAAGGAUCAACUACCCGAGAUAGCACUUCACCAUCUAAGAAACACAGUACAUCAACCCUCAAGAUUGUUGGCUUUGUUCUUGCCGGAGUAGUGCUGUUUAUUAUCAUAGUCCUCCUAGUAUUAUUUUGUCUAUCCAAGUACCAAGAGAGACGGUCGAGAUAUGAUCAUAACAGAAGUCAGCAGGCAAGGGUGCAUCAUAGGGUUGAACCGCAAAUCAAGCCACCUCCAGUGCAACAAAGCAAUGAUCUUAAAAAAGGUUCAGGUGAGGUACUUGAUAGAAGGGGCCAUGAACUAAGUUCAUCAACGGCAGCUCUCGCAAAGAAAUCUCCUGAAAACCAAAAGGAGCAUGUAAUUAAUUUUGAUCGAACAGAUUCAGAUCUGUUUCCUGUUUCUCUACCACCACCACCUCCUCCACCUCCAUUACCCCCAAUUGAAAGAGUUAUUGCAAAUCCCAUUGUUCCACCAGAAAAGCGAUAUAGUCCUCCACCAAAGACAAGUAGCUCUACUUCUGCCACAUCAUUCUCUAUUGCAUCUCUUCAGCAAUAUACAAAUAGCUUCAGAGAGGAGAAUGUGAUAAGAGAGAGUAGAUUAGGAAAGGUUUACCUAGCAGAGCUUCCUGAUGGCAAGUUAUUGGAGGUUUUGAAGAUUGACAAUGCUAAUGGAAGAAUAUCAGUAGAUGACUUCCUAGAAGAGGUUGAAUGUAUCUUAGAUAUCAAGCAUCCUAACAUUCUUGAGUUAGUCGGAUACUGUGCUGAAUAUGGGCAGAGGUUACUUGUGUACAAUCACUUUAGCAGAACGACACUAGAUGACACACUUCAUGAUGGAGAGGAUACUGAAAGUGCACUGUCAUGGAAUGCCCGCCUCCAGGUUGCUCUUGGUUCUGGAAAAGCCUUAGAGUAUCUCCAUGCUAGCUUCCAACCUCCAAUUGUGCACCAGAAUUUUGAACCAGCUAAUGUGCUCCUUGACAAAAAGUUCUCAGUGUGUGUUGCUGAAUGUGGACUGGCAGAAUUGAUGCCACCAAGUUCAGUCACUCAGGUAAGCUAUAAUAUUGUGUUUCAUGUUUCUAGAACGACUAAAACGGGGAUAAUGCAAUCAUGGUUCUAUUUAGUAUUUACAUCUUUUCGCCAUGUCCAGUCUGUUUGAAUUGCUCACAUUACUAUGGUUGAAAUAUCUCAAGCUUUGAAUAUCAUCGUGAAUCCUUGAUUCAUAGGUGUUAAUGAUCAACACUUUUAUGAGGCUUAACAUUUACUUGUUCACUGUAGGAUAGUUUCUGUUGACAAGCCAGGGAUUUCCCAUGUUGUAAAUUGUAAUCAACUUAACUACUGCAAUUGCCUAUUGCCACAUUUCUAUCUUCUCAAUGUUUUUCAAUAAGUACAUUUAAUCCUUUAGCUAUUCUGUUGUUCAUAGCAAGCUAAUAUGCUUUACUGAUGGUGGGUGCAAAGGCCCUGUGGAACCUCCAGUGCUAGGUCUAGUGGCUGUGACUGCAGUAGAUCUUAAUCAAAAGGCUAACCCCAUUGUAGAUUUGGCAUGUAAUUAAAUCGCUUUCUGUUAAUGCAAUGACACACAAUGUUUUUGAGUGUUCGAGGAAAAAAUAUUUGAAAGGCCUGGAACAGAGUAACUGAAUGUUGAUGGCAAAAAAUCAUGUAAUAUAUGCAAAUAAGGUCUGUACAACGGGGAUGAUGGAAUGGUGAUAAUAAAUCCACUACUCCAGCAACUCCUUGUAGCUCACUGUCAGGUCGGAUGCGUGCAUUACUGAACUACGAAGCACCUGAGUUGCAGGAUUCUGGGGUCGUUUCAGAAAGGGGUGAUGUAUACAGCUUUGGUGUAGUGAUGCUGGAACUUCUUACUGGGCGUAAACCAUAUGACAGUUCACGCCCGCGUCAUGAGCAACAUCUUGUUAGAUGGGCCAGUUCUCAGCUUCAUGACAUAGAAUCCCUGUCCAAGAUGGUGGACCCAUCUAUACGUGGACAAUGUUCUGAGAAAGCAUUGUCACGUUUCGCUGACAUAAUCAGCCGCUGUAUCCAGCAGCCAGAAUUCAGGCCACCAAUGUCUGAAAUUGUACAAGACCUAGCUAGACUUGUAAAUGCCACCGGUGAGGAAUCAGAGUAACCCCCAAAAAAAGCAUGGAGCCAUGGAAGGCAUACAAUACAAACGUCGCGACCAAGUUACGUGCUGUACAAUUUUUUUGGGAAGAUAAUUGUCUUGCUUGGUCUGGGGAGAAUACUGUGAAGAUGUAUUUUCCUCAGAGAGCAUUGCACACUAAUGUCAGAUUGGAAUUUCAUUUAGACCUGGCUGGGGAGUGGAGGUGCAGCCAUCUGUGCACCUGAUUGUUGAUCAAAUCCAUGUAAUAUUUUUGCAGACAUGAUAUUAUAUAUAGCGACAGUGGCGGAGCCUCCGCCAAGCGCCAAGGCCCGGCCUGAUCGGGCACGUGUCCAGGCUUCCGCCGAGGAACACUUGGGUGGGCUCUCGAUCGGCCUAGCACACGGAUGUUUGGAUGGGUCAGGCAGUGGUGUCGAUUUCAGGCCGGCUCCGCCACUGUACUGUAUAGCAAGGUGUAUAUAUAGCAAGACCCCGGAUUCUUGUAAUAAUAGUCAGGGAUUCGUUAAAUUUGUUACUCUAAAGCUAGUCAUUUACUUGUUCGCCCGUUUA